Molecule: transfer RNA, 73 nt
Filed under: Idomacromia proavita
Lineage: Eukaryota; Metazoa; Arthropoda; Insecta; Odonata; Corduliidae
Description: tRNA-Val
Source: RNAcentral
AGCAAAUUAGAGCUUGAUAGGAAGCUUUUCAUUUACACUGAAAUUAUAACUGUGCAAUUCAGUUUGGUUUGAU